Molecule: ribosomal RNA, 440 nt
Filed under: uncultured bacterium
Lineage: Bacteria
Description: partial 16S ribosomal RNA
Rfam family: Bacterial small subunit ribosomal RNA
Source: RNAcentral
CCUACGGGAGGCAGCAGUGGGGGAUAUUGCACAAUGGGGGGAACCCUGAUGCAGCGACGCCGCGUGGGUGAAGAAGCGCCUCGGCGCGUAAAGCCCUGUCAGCAGGGAAGAAAAUGACGGUACCUGAAGAAGAAGCCGCGGCUAACUACGUGCCAGCAGCCGCGGGAAUACGUAGGGGGCAAGCGUUAUACGGAUUUACGGGGCGUAAAGGGGGCGCAGGCGGGUAUGCAAGCCAGGAGUGAAAGCCCGGGGCCCAACCCCGGGACUGAUCUUGGAACUGCGUGGCUGGAGUGCAGGAGGGGUAGGCGGAAUUCGUGGUGUAGCGGUGAAAUGCGUAGAUAUCAGGCGGAACACCGGUGGCGAAGGCGGCCUGCUGGACUGCAACUGACGUUGAGGCACGAAAGCGUGGGGAGCAAACAGGAUUAGAUACCCCGGUAGUC